GACCGAGGGGGCAAGCGUUGCUCGGAAUCCCUGGGCGUAAAGGGCGCGUAGGCGGGAUGGCAAGUCAGUCGUGAAAUCUCUCGGCUCAACCGAGAAACGUCGGCUGAUACUGCCGUUCUUGAGGGAUGCAGAGGAGACUGGAAUUCCCGGUGUAGCGGUGAAAUGUGUAGAGAUCGGGAGGAACACCGGUGGCGAAGGCGGGUCUCUGGGCAGCUCCUGACGCUGAGGCGCGAAAGCGUGGGGAGCAAACAGG
This 253-nucleotide ribosomal RNA is filed under the name uncultured bacterium. Its description in RNAcentral is "partial 16S ribosomal RNA". It matches the Rfam family "Bacterial small subunit ribosomal RNA", at positions 524 to 776 of the family's 1533-position model. The record is from RNAcentral.